Non-coding RNA from Ictidomys tridecemlineatus (thirteen-lined ground squirrel), 6371 nucleotides. Lineage: Eukaryota; Metazoa; Chordata; Mammalia; Rodentia; Sciuridae. The record is from RefSeq and is a predicted model, not a curated record.
UUUUUUUUUUUUUAAAUGAUCAAAUUGGAUCAUCAUAUUGGAUGGAGUAAUAACCCUCAUCCAAGACCCCCAGUGGAUGCCUGAAAAUGUGGAUAAUACCAAAUCCUUGUAUAUACGGGGUUUUUCUAUAUGUACAUGCCUAUGAUGAAGUUAAAUUUAUAAAUUAGGCAUAAAGAUUAACAACAAUUACUAUUGAUAACAGUAUACUUUAUUGCAUUUGCCCUGUGGGGCUGUUAUUAAGUAAAGUAAGGAGUACUUAAAACAGGUUCUGCAAUGCUGAGGCAGUGAAUCUGAUAAGUCAGAGGGCUACUGAGUGAUAAAGGGGUAGGAUAUGUUGGGCAGAAAUGACUCACAACCCAAGAGAUUUCAUCACACUGCUCAGAAUGGUAUGCAAUUUAAAACAUGAGUUGUUUACUUCUGGGAUUUUUACAUUUAAUAUCUUCAGACAAUGGGGCUGGGGCUGGGGCUGUAGCUCAAUGGCAGAGUGCUUGCCCAGCAGACUCUGGGUUUAAUUCCCUGCACUCCAAAAAAAAUUAAUAAAUCAGUCGUUUGGAGGUCGACCAUGGUUUACUGAACCCUCAGAAAGCAAAAUCUAGAGUAAGCAGGGAACAACUCUAUCUUCUUUGAACUAAAACCACACCUGAAAAUGAUUUCCUGCUGAGAAGAGUCAGUGGUAAUAUUUAGACAAUUACCAUGACGCUUGCUGAGAUCACCAAAAUUAAAAACUGUUAAAGCCACUAAUAAACCUCUCAUUGACAUACUUUGGAACUGAGAAGGAAAAAAUGCUAAAGUUUUGAUAAACAUUUGCCUAAUAAGUAGAAUUGUGUCUCCGUGCACAGUGAAACACUACUGUAAUCCCAGCUAAUCAGGAGGCUGAGGCAGCUUAAUGAGACCCUGUCUCAAAAGAAAACAAAAAGGGCUGGGGUGUGGCUCAGUGGUAGAUGGUCCCUGGAUUCAAUCUCCAAUACCAUAACAUGAAGGAGGAGGAAGAGGAUAAAGGGGAGAAGAGUAUGGAGAAGGAGAAUCUUAACAAUUCAGUGGAUGAGGAAGAAUUUUUUUAUAAAACGGGAUAUAAAAUAACAGCACAAAGGCAGAGACUGAUAAGUUUUAUCUCAUUAAAAUUGGAAACUGUUCUGUGUUUAAAGACAUCAUUUAAAAUAUGAAGAGAUAAGCCACAAACCAGGAAAAGAUAGUUGCAGCACAUACCACUAAUAAAGGCUUAGUAUCCAGUGCACGUGCACAUCUCUUACCCAUGAAAUAGGUGGGCCAAGGUAAUGAACCCCAGACUACAGGCGAGGGACCUCAAGUGGCUAAUGACAGUGGCAAAAGCUACUAAACCUCACUCUGUGUAAGAUGUAUGCAAAUUAAACAAUAGCAUUUCUCAUCUGUCAAAUUGGUAAGAAUCUAAGAGUUGGGAGAUACUAAAUGCUGGCGAGGGUGUGAAGUGGCUGCAAAAAAGAACCUGACCACAAUUAAGCUUCUUUGGUGACCCCUCCCACCAUAAUUAAGCUUCUUGUCAGCAAGAUUUUACAAAGAGUGUCAACAAGGUUUCACAGGAGUUCUGCACAGAGCUUUAUGUGAUUUGUAACUUUCUCUUUCUUGUAAAACCUAGGUCUGCGUCAAGCUUAUUGCUGUGCAAAUGAUACUAUUCUGCUUUCCUCCAGACCUCGCACCCAGAGAUUUUUAGGCAAGAGCCCCUCUGGACCACCUCAGCUUAAAUAAACCUGCUUCCUGAAAAUUCCUCAUGUAUCCAGCUUCGUCUGUCCUCAGCAACAGAAGUGUACCUUAGAGCAAGCUUUGAAGAGUAACUUGGCAAGUUGAAUGAACUAGCCCAGCAGCAGGCUUACACAGCCACUUCACUGCCAGCCACCAGCCCGACAGGGAGAUGCGAGCCAGAAUGAUCUUGCAGUGUUAUUAAUAGGAGAAAAACAAACCAAAGCCCAAAGCAAAUAAAAGCAUGAAGUAAACCAUGUCUAGCUGCCAAACAGAAAAAGAAGAAGAAAAGGAGGAGAGCAGUUAUAAUAGCUCACAAGGUGACGGUAGUGAACUGGAGCCCUGCACGCUGAAGGGGAUCGCCGGAGAGCAGAGAGCUGAACAACGACUCCAAAAGGAGUGAAUGUGUGUCCACGUGAGGGACUUCACAAGAGGCCAGAGCAUAGAGCAGGCACCCAGGGCAGAUAGGCCUCGGAGGGCACGUCAGGAGGGCUACCUGUGACUCACAGGGAUUCAGUGUGCUUUCCACUCCGUGCGUUAUAGUCAUCUCUAAAACUUACUGCACGUCAUGAGGAGUCAGACUUCUGUUCUAUAUCCACGUAGAAGCAGAACCCUCCCGAUUCUGCGAAUUCCUUCCUGUCAUAACAUCUUAUCUUCCACUGUGCAGUUUUAGUUGUAAACAUUUAUUAAUACAAAUAUUAAUACAAAUAUUAAUACAGCUUUAUUAGUCUGAAAUCACUCUAUUCAAUUUUUUUAUUUGAACAAAUAGGAUGGAGACAAGUGAUCAUGCUAUUGAUUUAAAAUCAGCUGUACACUGGUUUCUUAGAGGUAAUUUGAGAUGCUUUGUUGAGUUAGAACUGCCUAAGAAUGUGUAUGUGUGUGUGUGUGUGUGUGUGUGUGUGACUGGAAAUUGAACCUAGGGCUGUGCAUGCUAGGGAACCACUCCACCAAUGAGCUACACCCUCAGUCAGUCCCUAAGAAGUGUUUGGACUGAGUUGACUUUAUUUUCUAAACUUAAGGCCUAUGAAAUAUUCCUCUGAAUCAAAGUCAAAAUAGGACAUUAAGAUUUUUCUCUGGGGAAAAUUGAUAAAAAUAAAUUGAGGUCAAAAUUUUGCCCAUCAAAAACACAAAGCCAGUGUACCUGCAUGUCCUUGCCUAGAUGCCAAGCACCUGGCCAGGUAUAAAACAGAGUCAGAAGAGUGCUUUUCUCUGCCAUCCAGCAACUCGGGAUUCCCAUGCAGACAGACAAAUAGAAGGCAGAGCGGGGCAGGGUGUGAGGGGAGAGCAAGGCACGGCUGUGCACAAAGCAGGGCUGAGGCGACGGCCGCCGGAGCUGCCCCGAAGACCGCGGGUCCUGGGAGAGUUUAGUACACUAGGUGAGCACAGGCAGCAGUAUCUCCACCAGGUGAGCCACCAGGGACAAGGUACCUCUCACUCUUUGACCCAAUAUAUUUUUUUAAUACUCAAAAAUGAUUUCUUUAACAGAGGAAUGGAGUCCUGCGGGGUAGAGCUGUGAAAGAGCAUCAUUCAGCCUGUCCUACAUUUUGAGUGUCCCCAAGUAUGCAUUCCUCAUACAGUGGGAGCCUGUGAGGCCCAGCCCCUUCCUUAGAAGGCAGCCCCAGCACCUUCCUUUGUCAGUCCCCUGGAUGAGGAGAGUAAAAAGCUUCAAACACACCGGGGCCGGAUGCAGUGGCUCAGAUUGUGUCCUCCGCUGUGCCUCUCAUUCCUACACCUCCUGAGUGUGUCUGCUUGGUGGUUUAUGUCAUGACCAACAGGGGACCACGUGGCUGUCAACCAUGGUGCUCUUGAGUCCAUGUUGCUAAUUAAAUUCUACUUUUCCGCCUCAAAAGCAGAGGUUCUGAUCAGGAGGUCAUGGAUUGAGCUGGGAAUGUGUGUGCUAAAGUGUAAGCAGAACUGAAAGUGGCCAGGAGAGCCCUCUGGACCACCGGCCUCCGAGAGGUCAGGACUGCCUCCUGGCGCCUGCUCCCACGGCCUGCCAGGAGCCAGUGUGUGUGGAAUCACAGAAUCCCUUGACACGUGGAUGAGCGCAGUGACGGACCGUGGUUCUAAGAUGGGCAUGCACUGAGCCCACAGGGCAGGGGAGAACAAUAGACUGUCUUGUGGACUGGACACUUUUGAGCAGGAGGACUAGGUAUUUGGGAAUGGAGAAGGCCUAGAACACGGGUCAUUUUUAAAGAAUAGAAGGUGGUGGACUUUUGAUCUGUGAUUAUUACAAGGCCUGGAUUGAUGGUUUCUGGGUUAAAAUCUAUGAUGCUUUGGGUCUGGAAUUUCCCCUGGAGCUCGCGUUAGAGGGCUUCGUCCCAGUGCAGCCGUGCUGAGAGGCGGGCUGGAGAAAGGGGACUUUCUCUGACCAGUCAGGAGAGUGAUGGUUUGAAGGUGCUAUUGGGAGCUGAAGAACUGGGGCCUCGUUGAAGGAGUGGGAACCACAUCUGCCCCUGGACCCUGCCUCCCCGCUUUCCCUGCUUCCCACCUGCAGUGAGCUGAGCUGCUUUCCUCUGCCACACCCUUCACCUCCGCCCAGAGCAACGGAGCUGGUCUACCAUGGAAUCAAGCUCUGCCACUGGGAGGCAGAAUGCUUCUUUCUUCCUUUGUUUUUCUCAGGCACUUGUCAUAGGGACAAGAGGGUGACUAACACGGAGGACAAAAACUUUCUAUUGUUAUUUGCUAUUGUGAAAUGACCAGGUAAGGGUCAUUCCAGUAGCACAGAGGUGGCUCAGGCUCAAGAAACACACCAAGAGGAGACACCUUAUGACCACCUCAACAGUGUGCUCAUAGGCACUGAUCAAAAUCGCUAGCUUAAAGAAAAGUUAAAAAGUGCCUACUCCAGCAAAAUAUAACAGCACAUUCAACUCUUUCAUUGUUAUAAACUUGAUAUCUUGAAAUCAUUUUGAACUCAUGAAAGAGCUGAAAAAUAGUCAAAAGGAUUUGCAUAUAUUCUUUGCCCAGAUUGACCAAACAUUAAUAUCUCCCCAGCCCUGGUCCCAUCAGCAAGAUCAGGCGAUUUGACGAUGCUACACUCCUGUCUGGAGAAAAACUCCUUCUGACCUCCACUGCUGUGCUCUCUGUGGUCCAAGAUCUGAUCCAGGUCACAGGCUGCAUUUAGCAGUCAUGUUUCCAUUCUCCUUGGACCUGGAGCAGUUCUUCCCUCUCUCUUUAUUUCUGUGACCUUGUCACUUUCAAAGAGCACUAGCCAGUGAUUUUGCAGUGUUCCUCAACAUGCCUGGGAGUUCCUGGUGACACGGUCCAGGUUGUGCAUUUCUGGCCCAACACCACACGCGCACCCCAGUCUUCAGAGCACCAUCAGGAGGGACAGGGCGGCUGGCCCCAUUCCUGCCAACCACAGCUGGUAUCACACGGUGGCCCCAGUAAGGGGCUGCACUGCACGUUGAGUUACGGUUUGGUGAGGUGUCCCCAAAAAGCUCCGAUGUGAGACAGUGCAAGAGAGUUCAGAGAAGUGAUUGGGUUACAGCCUUAACCUGCUCAGUGAAUUAAUCCAUGAUGGGACUGAGUGGUAAUGGGAGGCAAGUGGGGUGUGGCUGGAGGAAGUGUUUCCCGGGGGUGUGGCUUUGGGUAUGUAUUUGUAUAUGGCGAGUGGAGGAGUCUCUCUGCUAUCUGAUCAUUGUGUGAACUGGUUCCCUCUGCCACACUCUUCCGCCAGGAUGUCCUGUCUCAGCUCGAGCCCCGAAGAAUGGAGCCUGCUCGCUUUGGAUCGAGACCUCUGAAACUAGCUUUCAGUCACAACAUGCUUUCCCAAGCUGCUCCGGCUAGCUCUCUCAGUAAGCAGAUGUGAGUCCUCACCAAUGCUCCUAACAACAGAGAAGUCCUCCGUGAACGAGUGGCACCGUCCGCCAUUGGCCACGCGUCCUGCUUAGAGACUAAGAUAGAAGAGUGAAGAAAGGCUUCAGGGACGGUUGGAGGGAUGGUCACUGGGAUUUGAUAGACCCUCCUGGUUUCCAGGAGACAUCCGUAUCACCAGGUGGUCUCUGGAGCACAGAGCAAGGACCCCUGGCUCCAGGGAAGCAGGAAGACUCAGGCAGCAGGGGGUGCUCUCUGGGAGCCCAGGCAGAACCCUGGACUCAGACCCUGGAGUUGCACCUGCGAUUUUCCGUGGCCUGGAGUGCUGAGGCAUCCUGCACAGACAGCAAGGCAGUGGGCACCCAGACUCUCUCCUGGGGAGCAGAAGAAACACAUCCUCUUGAUGGGUUCCUACUUGAUUUCUUCUGGCCUAAUUGCAGAAUUUCCCCCAACAGUUGGUGUGUGUGCCGACAAACACAGAGCUGCCCCUGGGUUCCAGCAUGGUCCCAAGUCUCCUCUGUGGUCCACACUCCUGCCCAGCCCUUGGAGCCGCUGGUCUGCUGUGUGCCUCUGUUCGGCCUCUCCUGGAGUCGCGCACGGCAGCCUCCUGGCUCAGUACGGUGCGUCUGCAGUACCCGGGUGGCACAGGGUGCCCACGUCCUCUGUUCUGUUGCUGAGAGGCAUUCUAUCAGGACCACCAACCCAGCUCCUGAGCUCUUCCAGCUUUGUGACUAGAGAGAAAGUGCUGUGACCAUCCUCAGGUAAGCUCUGGGUGGGCAUAGGCUCUCACUUCUCGUGGGCAGACACCGGGAAGCGAAACUGCUGGGCCACGUGGGAGGUAG